RNAcentral lists this ribosomal RNA (807 nucleotides) under uncultured Staphylococcus sp. Its description in RNAcentral is "bacterial SSU rRNA". It matches the Rfam family "Bacterial small subunit ribosomal RNA", at positions 65 to 857 of the family's 1533-position model. The record is from RNAcentral. Lineage: Bacteria; Bacillati; Bacillota; Bacilli; Caryophanales; Staphylococcaceae.
AACGGACGAGAAGCUUGCUUCUCUGAUGUUAGCGGCGGACGGGUGAGUAACACGUGGAUAACCUACCUAUAAGACUGGGAUAACUUCGGGAAACCGGAGCUAAUACCGGAUAAUAUUUUGAACCGCAUGGUUCAAAAGUGAAAGACGGUCUUGCUGUCACUUAUAGAUGGAUCCGCGCUGCAUUAGCUAGUUGGUAAGGUAACGGCUUACCAAGGCAACGAUGCAUAGCCGACCUGAGAGGGUGAUCGGCCACACUGGAACUGAGACACGGUCCAGACUCCUACGGGAGGCAGCAGUAGGGAAUCUUCCGCAAUGGGCGAAAGCCUGACGGAGCAACGCCGCGUGAGUGAUGAAGGUCUUCGGAUCGUAAAACUCUGUUAUUAGGGAAGAACAUAUGUGUAAGUAACUGUGCACAUCUUGACGGUACCUAAUCAGAAAGCCACGGCUAACUACGUGCCAGCAGCCGCGGUAAUACGUAGGUGGCAAGCGUUAUCCGGAAUUAUUGGGCGUAAAGCGCGCGUAGGCGGUUUUUUAAGUCUGAUGUGAAAGCCCACGGCUCAACCGUGGAGGGUCAUUGGAAACUGGAAAACUUGAGUGCAGAAGAGGAAAGUGGAAUUCCAUGUGUAGCGGUGAAAUGCGCAGAGAUAUGGAGGAACACCAGUGGCGAAGGCGACUUUCUGGUCUGUAACUGACGCUGAUGUGCGAAAGCGUGGGGAUCAAACAGGAUUAGAUACCCUGGUAGUCCACGCCGUAAACGAUGAGUGCUAAGUGUUAGGGGGUUUCCGCCCCUUAGUGCUGCAGCUAACG